ACCGCCCUGACGGACACGGGCGCCACGGCGCAUGCGCAGAUACAUAACGUCCAUGCAGACAGGAGAGCUGGAGUUUAAAAAAAACUUUAUCAACUGUUUACUCACGUUAUUGAAGCACGCGCUCAUCGUGGGAGGGGGGUCAGACAGUCAUGUUGAGUCCUGAGUUUUCUGUUUCAAUGGCGAUGCUGCGGGCUUGAAUAACUUUUCAGUCAAAGAACCAGCUGGACAGCUUCCUGUGGCUUCUGCAAACAGACACACACGGUGAACAGCAGGGGGCGCCAUCCACCAAGGAGAGGGCAAAGAGCGAGCCGGAAGAUGGGAAGUUUUUGUGAAUUGGUUUCCUUCCUGGUUUCCAUUCAGUGAUCAUCAUCUUAAACUGGUGCACAGGUGAGGUGGAGUCACUGGCUGUGUCCCCAUUCAGGGUCUGCAGCCUUUUUUUUUUUUUUUUUCUUUUUUUUUUUUUUUAUUUAGACAAUUGAACAACAAACAUACAUAGUAAUGUAGAAUAUAGAAAGGGUAUGACAAAUCCCACAGCUUGCAGUAUCUUGAACAAGUUAUGUAUACAAAUACAAGUACGUAAACAAAAACGCAUACUUUAGGAGAAAACAGAUAAACAAAAUAACUGAAAGAAAAAACAAGGUGCUCAAGGUAUAAAUAAACAACAUAUAAGUCAAGUGAAACUAUACAUUCGACACAGCUCUUGUGUUUUACAUGCUUUGGAGUUAGUACUGUUCUUAAGAGUUAAUUGGAAAACAGGGCUUUAAAAGCAAAUAUGUUUGGACGCUGUUGAGAAAAUUUUGUACAAUGUAUGUGAAAUUUGGCAAAAAUAAUCAGAAGAUUAAUAAUAUA
This is a long non-coding RNA of Oreochromis aureus, 849 nucleotides long. RefSeq lists it as uncharacterized. The transcript is spliced from 2 exons. The record is from RefSeq and is a predicted model, not a curated record. Lineage: Eukaryota; Metazoa; Chordata; Actinopteri; Cichliformes; Cichlidae.